This 1313-nucleotide ribosomal RNA is filed under the name uncultured bacterium. Its description in RNAcentral is "bacterial SSU rRNA". It matches the Rfam family "Bacterial small subunit ribosomal RNA", at positions 8 to 1307 of the family's 1533-position model. The record is from RNAcentral.
AGAGUUUGAUCCUGGCUCAGGAUGAACGCUAGCGACAGGCUUAACACAUGCAAGUCGAGGGGCAGCGGGGUAGUAAGCUUGCUUACUACUGCCGGCGACCGGCGCACGGGUGAGUAACACGUAUGCAACCUGGCCGUCACAGAGGGAUAACCGGGAGAAAUCCCGCCUAAUACCGCAUAAUACCGGGGAAGGACAUCCUUUUCCGGUUAAAGGAGCGAUCCGGUGACGGAUGGGCAUGCGCCGCAUUAGUUAGUUGGCGGUGUAACGGACCACCAAGACGACGAUGCGUAGGGGUUCUGAGAGGAAGGUCCCCCACACUGGUACUGAGACACGGACCAGACUCCUACGGGAGGCAGCAGUGAGGAAUAUUGGUCAAUGGGCGAGAGCCUGAACCAGCCAAGUCGCGUGAGGGAAGACGGUCCUAUGGAUUGUAAACCUCUUUUGCCGGGGAGCAAAAAGCGGUACGCGUACCGCAUCGAGAGCACCCGGAGAAAAAGCAUCGGCUAACUCCGUGCCAGCAGCCGCGGUAAUACGGAGGAUGCGAGCGUUAUCCGGAUUUAUUGGGUUUAAAGGGUGCGCAGGCGGUCUGUUAAGUCAGCGGUCAAAGCCCGGGGCUCAACCCCGGCCCGCCGUUGAAACUGGCAGUCUCGAGUUGGAGAGAAGUAUGCGGAAUGCGCGGUGUAGCGGUGAAAUGCAUAGAUAUCGCGCAGAACUCCGAUUGCGAAGGCAGCAUGCCGGCUCCACACCGACGCUGAGGCACGAAAGCGUGGGUAUCGAACAGGAUUAGAUACCCUGGUAGUCCACGCAGUAAACGAGCAUAAAGGCUGUCCGGGGGGGAUUGACCCCCUGGGUGGCGAAGCGAAAGCGAUAAGCAUUCCACCUGGGGAGUACGCCGGCAACGGUGAAACUCAAAGGAAUUGACGGGGGCCCGCACAAGCGGAGGAACAUGUGGUUUAAUUCGAUGAUACGCGAGGAACCUUACCCGGGCUCAAACGGGGAGUGACUCAGGCAGAGACGCCUGUUUCCCACGGGACACUCCCCGAGGUGCUGCAUGGUUGUCGUCAGCUCGUGCCGUGAGGUGUCGGCUUAAGUGCCAUAACGAGCGCAACCCCCGCGUGCAGUUGCUAACAGAUAACGCUGAGGACUCUGCACGGACUGCCGGCGCAAGCCGCGAGGAAGGCGGGGCCGACGUCAAAUCAGCACGGCCCUUACGUCCGGGGCGACACACGUGUUACAAUGGGUGGUACAGCGGGAAGCCAGGCGGCGACGCCGAGCGGAACCCGAAAUCCACUCUCAGUUCGGAUCGGAGUCUG